Molecule: ribosomal RNA, 443 nt
Filed under: uncultured bacterium
Lineage: Bacteria
Description: bacterial SSU rRNA
Rfam family: Bacterial small subunit ribosomal RNA
Source: RNAcentral
AACGAACGCUGGCGGCAGGCCUAACACAUGCAAGUCGAGCGAACCCUUCGGGGUUAGCGGCGGACGGGUUGGUAACGCGUGGGAAUAUACCCUUUGGUACGGAAUAGCCUCGGGAAACUGAGAGUAAUACCGUAUGUGCCCUUCGGGGGAAAGAUUUAUCGCCAAAGGAUUAGCCCGCGUUGGAUUAGAUAGUUGGUGGGGUAAUGGCCUACCAAGUCUACGAUCCAUAGCUGGUUUGAGAGGAUGAUCAGCAACACUGGGACUGAGACACGGCCCAGACUCCUACGGGAGGCAGCAGUGGGGAAUCUUAGACAAUGGGCGCAAGCCUGAUCUAGCCAUGCCGCGUGGACGACGAAGGCCUUAGGGUUGUAAAGUCCUUUCAGAUGGGAAGAUAAUGACGGUACCAUCAGAAGAAGCCCCGGCUAACUCCGUGCCAGCAGCCG